Molecule: ribosomal RNA, 468 nt
Filed under: uncultured bacterium
Lineage: Bacteria
Description: partial 16S ribosomal RNA
Rfam family: Bacterial small subunit ribosomal RNA
Source: RNAcentral
GACGAACGCUGGCGGCGUGCUUAACACAUGCAAGUCGAACGGAAAGGCCCUGCUUUUGUGGGGUGCUCGAGUGGCGAACGGGUGAGUAACACGUGAGUAACCUGCCCUUGACUUUGGGAUAACUUCAGGAAACUGGGGCUAAUACCGGAUAGGAGCUCCUGCUGCAUGGUGGGGGUUGGAAAGUUUCGGCGGUUGGGGAUGGACUCGCGGCUUAUCAGCUUGUUGGUGGGGUAGUGGCUUACCAAGGCUUUGACGGGUAGCCGGCAUGAGAGGGUGACCGGCCACAUUGGGACUGCGAGACGGACCAGACGCCAACGGGAGGCAGCAGUGGGGAAUAUUGCACAAUGGGCGGAAGCCUGAUGCAGCAACGCCGCGUGCGGGAUGACGGCCUUCGGGUUGUAAACCGCUUUCGCCUGAGACGAGGCGUGAGUGACGGUAAUGGGUAAAGAAGCACCGGCUAACUACGUG